CGAGCGAACAGAUAAGGAGCUUGCUCCUUUGACGUUAGCGGCGGACGGGUGAGUAACACGUGGAUAACCUACCUAUAAGACUGGGAUAACUUCGGGAAACCGGAGCUAAUACCGGAUAACAUAUUGAACCGCAUGGUUCAAUAGUGAAAGGCGGCUUUGCUGUCACUUAUAGAUGGAUCCGCGCCGUAUUAGCUAGUUGGUAAGGUAACGGCUUACCAAGGCAACGAUACGUAGCCGACCUGAGAGGGUGAUCGGCCACACUGGAACUGAGACACGGUCCAGACUCCUACGGGAGGCAGCAGUAGGGAAUCUUCCGCAAUGGGCGAAAGCCUGACGGAGCAACGCCGCGUGAGUGAUGAAGGUCUUCGGAUCGUAAAACUCUGUUAUCAGGGAAGAACAAAUGUGUAAGUAACUGUGCACAUCUUGACGGUACCUGAUCAGAAAGCCACGGCUAACUACGUGCCAGCAGCCGCGGUAAUACGUAGGUGGCAAGCGUUAUCCGGAAUUAUUGGGCGUAAAGCGCGCGUAGGCGGUUUUUUAAGUCUGAUGUGAAAGCCCACGGCUCAACCGUGGAGGGUCAUUGGAAACUGGAAAACUUGAGUGCAGAAGAGGAAAGUGGAAUUCCAUGUGUAGCGGUGAAAUGCGCAGAGAUAUGGAGGAACACCAGUGGCGAAGGCGACUUUCUGGUCUGUAACUGACGCUGAUGUGCGAAAGCGUGGGGGAUCAAACAGGAUUAGAUACCCUGGUAGUCCACGCCGUAAACGAUGAGUGCUAAGUGUUAGGGGGGUUUCCGCCCCUUAGUGCUGCAGCUAACGCAUUAAGCACUCCGCCUGGGGAGUACGA
This 843-nucleotide ribosomal RNA is filed under the name Staphylococcus warneri. RNAcentral's name for it is "bacterial SSU rRNA". It matches the Rfam family "Bacterial small subunit ribosomal RNA", at positions 63 to 885 of the family's 1533-position model. The record is from RNAcentral. Lineage: Bacteria; Bacillati; Bacillota; Bacilli; Caryophanales; Staphylococcaceae.